GGCCAGACGACCGCGGGGCGGCCAUCCAGUCUUGGAGGGCUGCCAUGAGGAAAGUCCGGGCUCCACGGGCAGGAUGCUGGCUAACGGCCAGGCGGGGUGACCCGACGGAAAGUGCCGCAGAAAAGAAGACUCUCACCUGCGCGCAAGCGUAAAGAGAAAAGCUGAAACGGUAGUGUAAGAGACUACCAGCGCUCUGGCGACAGGGCGGCUUGGUAAACCCCAUCCGGAGCAAACGCAAAUAGGAGCGCUAUGGUGUAGCCCGCACUGCGCUCGGGUUGCGUGCUAGAGGAUGUCGGCAACGGCAUUCGUAGAUAAAUGGUCGUCCACGACAGAACCCGGCUUACAGGCCCGCUUU
RNAcentral lists this RNase P RNA (355 nucleotides) under uncultured Lancefieldella sp. RNAcentral describes it as "Bacterial RNase P class A". It matches the Rfam family "Bacterial RNase P class A". Rfam says of the family: Ribonuclease P (RNase P) is a ubiquitous endoribonuclease, found in archaea, bacteria and eukarya as well as chloroplasts and mitochondria. The record is from RNAcentral. Lineage: Bacteria; Bacillati; Actinomycetota; Coriobacteriia; Coriobacteriales; Atopobiaceae.